UAAGGAAUAUUGCGCAAUGGGCGAAAGCCUGACGCAGCGACGCCGCGUGGGGGAUGAAGGUCUUCGGAUUGUAAACCCCUUUCGGGAGGGAAGAUGGAAUGGGGUAACCCAUUCGGACGGUACCUCCAGAAGCAGCCACGGCUAACUUCGUGCCAGCAGCCGCGGUAAUACGAAGGUGGCAAGCGUUAUUCGGAUUUACUGGGCGUACAGGGAGCGUAGGCGGUUCGGUAAGCCCUUUGUGAAAUCUCCAGGCUUAACCUGGAACAGUCGGAGGGGACUGCCGGGCUAGAGGACGGGAGAGGAGCGCGGAAUUCCCGGUGUAGCGGUGAAAUGCGUAGAGAUCGGGAGGAAGGCCGGUGGCGAAGGCGGCGCUCUGGAACGUUUCUGACGCUGAGGCGCGAAAGCGUGGGGAGCAAACAGGAUUAGAUACCCAGGUAGUCCCUGAGCGGGCUGGCAAGGCGCAU
Molecule: ribosomal RNA, 464 nt
Filed under: uncultured bacterium
Lineage: Bacteria
Description: bacterial SSU rRNA
Rfam family: Bacterial small subunit ribosomal RNA
Source: RNAcentral